Molecule: transfer-messenger RNA, 349 nt
Filed under: Nitrospirota bacterium
Lineage: Bacteria; Pseudomonadati; Nitrospirota
Also listed under: 1 other name
Description: Nitrospirae bacterium (sediment metagenome) transfer-messenger RNA
Rfam family: transfer-messenger RNA
About the family: Bacterial tmRNA, also known as 10Sa RNA or SsrA, is named for its dual tRNA and mRNA-like properties. Its role is to liberate the mRNA from a stalled ribosome.
Source: RNAcentral
GGGGGCGAUAGGGUUCGACGGAGGUUAUGAGGUCUAGGUCGCAUGCCGUGGUCCUGUCACCACGAUAAAAGGCAGGAAACAAACACAAAAGCCAACACUGAAUUGGCACUCGCUGCUUAAUUAAAGCAGCACGCUUCGCUGUGUUUGCCUGUGACACAGCAGAGGCGUCGGGAAGCAGGCUGGUCUGAAGGUCUUCCCCUUAAUCUUCAGGCGAGACUUAAAGGGGUAGGAAUGAGGAAGGCCCGCUUACUGGCAUACCUCAGUCCGAAACUCAAAUAAGUAAGAUAAGCAUGUAGACACUUAGAUGUAGUGCUUCCGGACGCGGGUUCAAUUCCCGCCGCCUCCACCA